RNAcentral lists this ribosomal RNA (486 nucleotides) under uncultured bacterium. Its description in RNAcentral is "partial 16S ribosomal RNA". It matches the Rfam family "Bacterial small subunit ribosomal RNA", at positions 29 to 507 of the family's 1533-position model. The record is from RNAcentral.
AUUGAACGCUGGCGGCAUGCCUUACACACGCAAGUCGAACGGCAGCACGGGUGCUUGCACCUGUGGGCGAGUGGCGAACGGGUGAGUAAUACAUCGGAACAUGUCCUGUAGUGGGGGAUAGCCCGCCGGAAGCCGGAUUAAUACCGCAUACGAUCUACUGAUGAAAGCGGGGGGCUUGCGGGGUUCGCGCUGUAGGGGUGGGACAUGGCUGAUUAGCUAGUUGGUGGGGUGAAGGCCUACCAAGGCGACGAUCAGUAGCUGGUCUGAGAGGACGACCAGCCACACUGGAACUGAGACACGGCCCAGACUCCUACGGGAGGCAGCAGUGGGGAAUUUUGGACAAUGGGCGAAAGCCUGAUCCAGCAAUGCCGCGUGUGUGAAGAAGGCCUUCGGGUUGUAAAGCACUUUUGUCCGGAAAGAAAUCCUUGGCCCUAAGACGGUCGGGGGAUGACGGUACCGGAAGAAUAAGCACCGGCUAACUACGUG